This 566-nucleotide long non-coding RNA is filed under the name Heterocephalus glaber (naked mole-rat). RNAcentral describes it as "lncRNA (ENSHGLG00000034359.1)". The record is from RNAcentral. Lineage: Eukaryota; Metazoa; Chordata; Mammalia; Rodentia; Bathyergidae.
CUGACCUUUCCCGCCCGAUUGCAGGUUCUUUUCCUGUGACAUGGACACGGGUGCAGAAACAUUUCUCCACUCCGAAACAGACACAGCGCAAGCAUGAUGACCUUCACAACGGCCCGCGUCCUCAGCAGGGAGCAGGACGGAGGCGAGGAGAUUGGCUGUGGGUAAGCGCAAGAAAGGGGCACAAUGAUGCAGGACUUUCCAUACCGGCCGUCGCCCCUCUGAGAGAAAGACAACGCAGGCGAGAAGGAUGCAGAAGUCCAAGAUGUACUGCACUUUUGAAGAAGGAGAUCAAGGAAGGCUUAACGGAGGUACUGGAGAUAAACAAACCGAUGAAUGAACAAAGUCCUUUCUUCUAAGGAAAGAAAGAUAAUAAUGAAGAACCAAGUAAGAGAAUGUCAGAUCGUGGUUCCUUGCAACAAAGGACAUAAACCAAGGAAACUGUGCCAAGGACCCCUGUAGACCUAAAAUGAAGAUAUGCUGGAUUUCUGCCUUUACAAUGUGGAGGAGUCUGCGCGGAGCAGAAACUCGGCAGGUGCCGAAGGAGAAACGAGUGGCUCACGUCGAAG